ACAGCAUGGACACCACUUCAUGUAGGGGCACUGGACUGCCUAGAGUUGGAGGAAGGGACCCUGUUCUCACAUCGCUUUCCUGUUUCCCUCUCCUGCAAUAUGGAUUUGACAUAUUAAUCAUUACAGCAACUGCUAAAAUUCCACUGUGCUUCAUUAAUCCGGAGGAAAAUACCAUGUCAGCUGGAACUUACUGUGUCUCUGUUUGAUUGAGCCUGGGCAUGAGAUAAAACACGAGGUCAUCUGCAAUGGCACUGGUGCUGUGGCUGUAUCAGCAUGGCUCUGAUGUCCCUUCGGGGCAGGCAACAGUUCAGGGAGGACUUACAAGCAAGCUCUGGAACUUGAAGUCUCAAGAGAUGACAAAUAGUCAAUUCUCAAAAAAUGAAGAAAAGAAAAACUUGUUUCUUCAUGUUUGCUAACCCUAUCUAUAUCUAUGGUUUUGGCCAAUAAAUUCACUGUGUUUAAAUCCUCA
RNAcentral lists this long non-coding RNA (469 nucleotides) under Homo sapiens (human). RNAcentral describes it as "PREDICTED lncRNA (TCONS_00019054)". Lineage: Eukaryota; Metazoa; Chordata; Mammalia; Primates; Hominidae. The record is from RNAcentral.